GACGAACGCUGGCGGUGUGCUUAACACAUGCAAGUCGAACGGUAAGGCCCUUUCGGGGGUCCACGAGUGGCGAACGGGUGAGUAACACGUGAGUAACCUGCCCUCAUCUCUGGGAUAACAGUCGGAAACGGUUGCUAAUACUGGAUAUGAGCUUGCAAGGCAUCUUGUGGGUUGGAAAGAUUUUUUUUGGUUGGGGAUGGACUCGCGGCCUAUCAGCUUGUUGGUGAGGUAGUGGCUCACCAAGGCUUCGACGGGUAGCCGGCCUGAGAGGGCGACCGGCCACAUUGGGACUGAGAUACGGCCCAAACUCCUACGGGGGGCAGCAGUGGGGAAUAUUGCACAAUGGACGGAAGUCUGAUGCAGCAACGCCGCGUGCGGGAUGACGGCCUUCGGGUUGUAAACCGCUUUCAAUUGUGACGAAGCUUUUUUGUGACGGUAGCAGUAGAAGAAGCACCGGCUAACUACGUG
RNAcentral lists this ribosomal RNA (468 nucleotides) under uncultured bacterium. RNAcentral describes it as "partial 16S ribosomal RNA". It matches the Rfam family "Bacterial small subunit ribosomal RNA", at positions 28 to 507 of the family's 1533-position model. The record is from RNAcentral.